RNAcentral lists this ribosomal RNA (448 nucleotides) under uncultured bacterium. RNAcentral describes it as "bacterial SSU rRNA". It matches the Rfam family "Bacterial small subunit ribosomal RNA", at positions 330 to 793 of the family's 1533-position model. The record is from RNAcentral.
UCCAGACUCCUACGGGAGGCAGCAGUGGGGAAUAUUGGGCAAUGGGCGCAAGCCUGACCCAGCAACGCCGCGUGAAGGAAGAAGGCUUUCGGGUUGUAAACUUCUUUUGUCAGGGACGAAGCAAGUGACGGUACCUGACGAAUAAGCCACGGCUAACUACGUGCCAGCAGCCGCGGUAAUACGUAGGUGGCAAGCGUUAUCCGGAUUUAUUGGGUGUAAAGGGUGCGUAGGCGGACAGUCAAGUCAGCGGUAAAAAUGCGGUGCUCAACGCCGUACAGCCGUUGAAACUGGCAGUCUUGAGUGGGCGAGAAGUAUGCGGAAUGCGUGGUGUAGCGGUGAAAUGCAUAGAUAUCACGCAGAACUCCGAUUGCGAAGGCAGCAUACCGGCGCCCGACUGACGCUGAGGCACGAAAGCGUGGGUAUCGAACAGGAUUAGAUACCCGAGUAC